UGGGGAAUAUUGCACAAUGGGCGCAAGCCUGAUGCAGCAACGCCGCGUGAACGAUGAAGGUCUUCGGAUCGUAAAGUUCUGUUGCAGGGGAAGAUAAUGACGGUACCCUGUGAGGAAGCCCCGGCUAACUACGUGCCAGCAGCCGCGGUAAUACGUAGGGGGCUAGCGUUAUCCGGAUUUACUGGGCGUAAAGGGUGCGUAGGUGGUCUUUCAAGUCGGUGGUUAAAGGCUACGGCUCAACCGUAGUUAGCCUCCGAAACUGGAAGACUUGAGUGCAGGAGAGGAAAGUGGAAUUCCAAGUGUAGCGGUGAAAUGCGUAGAUAUUGGGAGGAAAACCAGUAGCGAAGGCGGCUUUCUGGACUGCAACUGACACUGAGGCACGAAAGCGUGGGUAGCAAACAGG
This 403-nucleotide ribosomal RNA is filed under the name Verrucomicrobiota bacterium. Its description in RNAcentral is "Verrucomicrobia bacterium partial 16S ribosomal RNA". It matches the Rfam family "Bacterial small subunit ribosomal RNA", at positions 355 to 776 of the family's 1533-position model. The record is from RNAcentral. Lineage: Bacteria; Pseudomonadati; Verrucomicrobiota.